GGAGUUAGCCGGUGCUUCUUCUGCGAGUAACGUCACAGAUGUAAGGUAUUAACUUACACCCUUUCCUCCUCGCUGAAAGUGCUUUACAACCCGAAGGCCUUCUUCACACACGCGGCAUGGCUGCAUCAGGGUUUCCCCCAUUGUGCAAUAUUCCCCACUGCUGCCUCCCGUAGGAGUCUGGGCCGUGUCUCAGUCCCAGUGUGGCUGAUCAUCCUCUCAGACCAGCUAGGGAUCGUCUCCUAGGUGAGCCUUUACCUCACCUACUAGCUAAUCCCACCUGGGCUUAUCCAUCAGCGCAAGGCCCGAAGGUCCCCUGCUUUCCCCCGUAGGGCGUAUGCGGUAUUAGCAGUCGUUUCCAACUGUUAUCCCCCACAAAUGGGCAAAUUCCCAGGCAUUACUCACCCGUCCGCCGCUCGUCAUCUUCAAAAGCAAGCUUUUGAAAUGUUACCGCUCGACUUGCAUGUGUUAGGCCUGCCGCCAGCGUUCAAUCUGAGCCAGGAUCAAACUCUGA
Molecule: ribosomal RNA, 511 nt
Filed under: uncultured bacterium
Lineage: Bacteria
Description: partial 16S ribosomal RNA
Source: RNAcentral